This 579-nucleotide ribosomal RNA is filed under the name uncultured bacterium. RNAcentral describes it as "partial 16S ribosomal RNA". It matches the Rfam family "Bacterial small subunit ribosomal RNA", at positions 355 to 932 of the family's 1533-position model. The record is from RNAcentral.
UGGGGAAUUUUGGACAAUGGGCGAAAGCCUGAUCCAGCAAUGCCGCGUGUGUGAAGAAGGCCUUCGGGUUGUAAAGCACUUUUGUCCGGAAAGAAAUCCUUGGCUCUAAUACAGUCGGGGGAUGACGGUACCGGAAGAAUAAGCACCGGCUAACUACGUGCCAGCAGCCGCGGUAAUACGUAGGGUGCAAGCGUUAAUCGGAAUUACUGGGCGUAAAGCGUGCGCAGGCGGUUUGCUAAGACCGAUGUGAAAUCCCCGGGCUCAACCUGGGAACUGCAUUGGUGACUGGCAGGCUAGAGUAUGGCAGAGGGGGGUAGAAUUCCACGUGUAGCAGUGAAAUGCGUAGAGAUGUGGAGGAAUACCGAUGGCGAAGGCAGCCCCCUGGGCCAAUACUGACGCUCAUGCACGAAAGCGUGGGGAGCAAAACAGGAUUAGAUACCCUGGUAGUCCACGCCCUAAACGAUGUCAACUAGUUGUUGGGGAUUCAUUCCUUAGUAACGUAGCUAACGCGUGAAGUUGACCGCCUGGGGAGUACGGUCGCAAGAUUAAAACUCAAAGGAAUUGACGGGGUCAUAGCUG